UCUCCUUUUCUUGGUGGGGGUCAAGUGUGUGGCCCCUGCCCCCAUAAAGUAUUGAGGCAGAAAGAAAGGGCUCCAGCCCUCUUCCAUACCACGUCCUUGGUACCCCAUGGCUUUUAGUCUACCAGUUAUAUCCUCAAGCACCAGGACAUGG
Small nucleolar RNA from Mustela putorius furo (domestic ferret), 151 nucleotides. The record is from Ensembl. Lineage: Eukaryota; Metazoa; Chordata; Mammalia; Carnivora; Mustelidae.